AUACGGAGGAUGCAAGCGUUAUCCGGAUUUAUUGGGUUUAAAGGGAGCGUAGGCGGACGCUUAAGUCAGUUGUGAAAGUUUGCGGCUCAACCGUAAAAUUGCAGUUGAUACUGGGUGUCUUGAGUACAGUAGAGGCAGGCGGAAUUAGUGGUGUAGCGGUGGAAUGCUUAGAUAUCACGAAGAACUCCGAUUGCGAAGGCAGCCUGCUGGACUGUAACUGACGCUGAUGCUCGAAAGUGUGGGUAUCAAACAGGAUUAGAUACCCUGGUAGUCCACACAGUAAACGAUGAAUACUCGCUGUUUGCGAUAUACAGUAAGCGGCCAAGCGAAAGCGUUAAGUAUUCCACCUGGGGAGUACGCCGGCAACGGUGAAACUCAAAUGAAUUGGCGGGG
RNAcentral lists this ribosomal RNA (393 nucleotides) under uncultured bacterium. RNAcentral's name for it is "partial 16S ribosomal RNA". It matches the Rfam family "Bacterial small subunit ribosomal RNA", at positions 523 to 918 of the family's 1533-position model. The record is from RNAcentral.